This 1065-nucleotide ribosomal RNA is filed under the name Triticum aestivum (bread wheat). RNAcentral's name for it is "partial small subunit ribosomal RNA". Lineage: Eukaryota; Viridiplantae; Streptophyta; Magnoliopsida; Poales; Poaceae. The record is from RNAcentral.
AUGUUGCUUCGCUGUGCCUGCUGCAUACUACGUCGCCAUCCGACUACAAGCCACGAGCACACACACUACACAUCUCCCGCAUGUCCCGCGCGCACUCGACGCACCCGACGAGCCCGACCGCACCACCAGUGCGUCCCGCACGUCCCGCGCGCACCCGCCGCGUCCGACGAGGCCGACUGCACCAGAUGCCAUGGCUUAUUCCAACACACUCCCCCUAAGCCACAACGUCGCCGCACGGCCUGCCGACAGGAGCCCUGCCUCGUCGACGUCGUCUCAGCACCGUGGACUCCUCCGCUGCGUCUUCGGCACAAGCCACCGCUCGCCGCGUCUCCGUGCCGCGCGCCUCCACGGUUGUCGCGCCGAGGCGCCGCGACCUCUGCGCCACCACGCAGGUCCUUCGCGACCUCCACGUCUCCGCGACCGCCGUGCUCUUUGCGCGCACUCCCACGUCCCCGCGCUCCCGGCCCGCGCUCCCGCCGCGCACGUACGCGAUCUGCGCGACCAGAUCCAGCGCCCCGACGCAGUCCACUCCCGCGGUCCCGACGCGCUCGACGCGUCCAGUGCGCACCCAUAACACGCACCGGUCGCGCCCGGCCCGCCGCCGUCGUCAUCGCCAUGCGCCGCAGCCACACCGCCUCGACCUCCAUGUCCGCCGUGCUCGUCGCGGACUCACCGUGCACCACCUCCGCAUCCGCCAUGACAGCUGUAGCGCCGCGCACCUUCACAGGCCGACACACGGCCCGGAGCUCCGCGCAGCCGCCGACGAAUGCCGCCAUUGCCGGCACGCCUCCGGCAUGGCCCAAGAUGACCAAGCUCAUGAUACCAAUUGUUGUUGCCGCCCUCUCUCUCUCGCCUCUGCACUCGCCUUGCACUCGAGGAGGAAGAGGACUGGAGGAGGAAGAAGGACACACAGACACAAUGACUUUCCCGGCAGGCGCACGAACGCCGUCGUGGGCGCACGAAUGCCCCAUUCUUUUUCUGUUGUAUUCACAGGCUACAUCACAGCUCACUGUUACAACUGAGGAAUACAAUGGCUUUUAUAGGCCGGGAACACACACCCACUAG